UCAAUGAACGUUCCCUUGGUGCCGUGCGCGCGGUUGCCAGCUGCCUCCAGCGGCCUGGGAUGUAGUUUCGGGCGUCUGUCCAGCGGCGCCUGCGCGUAGUGACAUCGCUUCUGGGAAGCUGCGGCCCGCGUGCUUCGAGGGUUUCGAACUGUCGACGUUGGGAGGCCCACUUGCGUUGGGAACAACCUUCUGCCGCCUUCAAGAAGGGACACACAGGUGCCAGGCAAACAAUAGCUGCAGAUUUGGCACUUGUCCCUUCCUCCUUGAGAUCCCGCGGGCUAGUGGAAUGCAUACCCAGAACGUCAUGAAAAGACUCGUUUUCGGUUUGCGUGCUGUAUAGCCUGGUGUAGCCUCGAACUCUUGGCAACCCUCCUUCCUCAGUCUCCUAAAUCAACAUUAAGAGGAUUACGGACGUGGCUUCUGUAUCUGCUGAUGAGAAGGAUUUCUUGUUUUGUUCUUUUCAGUGCCGCCCGCUUUACUGGGACAGUAGCAGCUAGCACUCACUGAUCUUUUGGCAAGUUGGUACCCCACCCCCACCCCCUCCGCCAUGCUGCUCUUGUUGCUUUUGAGCACUGAAAGACAUACCCCAGGCUGGAAACCUGUGCCUGAAGUGAGGCAUUGGGUGGGAAAAGAGUGGAUGCAGUCUCCCACUACUGCGGGUUAUAGAAACUAAUUUGCCUUUGGAGGAAACACAAGGGUUAAUACACACUAAGAGCAAUGUGUGAACCUUGACCUGGGAAAACCCUUCUUGAUCAGAGUCUCCCCUGCCAGGAAGGAACCUCAAUGAUACUGAGCAUCUAUGAACUGCCCCACAGCCGGCAUCACACCUAUUGAUGAGACAGCAGCUGCUUCCCCCUAAGACAGGAACAAGACAAUGACACCUACUCUCCCCGCUUCUAGUACAACGUUCUCCAGACAGUCCCAGCCAGUGCAAAAGGCAAGAGAAAGAAAAUACAUAACGACUAAAACAUGGCCUCUUGAGUCAGGUGUGGUGGCAACACCUGUAAUUCCAGCACUUGACAGGAAGUUCAAAGCAAACUUGAGGCCAUCCUAGACCACAUAGUGAAUUCCAAGCAAGACCUUAUCUCGAAUAAACAAACAAAAUAUGUCUUUCAGCAAA
Long non-coding RNA from Peromyscus maniculatus bairdii (prairie deer mouse), 1120 nucleotides. RefSeq lists it as uncharacterized. The record is from RefSeq and is a predicted model, not a curated record. NCBI's taxonomy places the organism in Eukaryota, Metazoa, Chordata, Mammalia, Rodentia, Cricetidae.